AUACUUACCUGGCAGGGGAGAUACCAUGAUCACGAAGGUGGUUUUCCCAGGGCGAGGCUUAUCCAUUGCACUCCAGGUGUGCUGACCCCUGCGAUUUCCCCAAAAUGUGGGAAACUCAACUACAUAAUUUGUGAUAGUGGGGGACUGCGUUUGCGCUCUCCCCUU
Molecule: small nuclear RNA, 165 nt
Filed under: Castor canadensis (American beaver)
Lineage: Eukaryota; Metazoa; Chordata; Mammalia; Rodentia; Castoridae
Description: U1 spliceosomal RNA (ENSCCNG00000012082.1)
Rfam family: U1 spliceosomal RNA
About the family: U1 is a small nuclear RNA (snRNA) component of the spliceosome (involved in pre-mRNA splicing). Its 5' end forms complementary base pairs with the 5' splice junction, thus defining the 5' donor site of an intron.
Source: Rfam by way of RNAcentral